GUCCCAGUUCGGAUUGUAGGCUGCAACCCGCCUACAUGAAGUUGGAAUUGCUAGUAAUCGCAGAUCAGAAUGCUGCGGUGAAUACGUUCCCGGGCCUUGUACACACCGCCCGUCACACCAUGGGAGUCGGAAAUGCCCGAAGUCGGUGACCUAACUGAAAGGAAGGAGCCGCCGAAGGCAGGUCUGGUGACUGGGGUGAAGUCGUAACAAGGUAGC
RNAcentral lists this ribosomal RNA (216 nucleotides) under uncultured bacterium. RNAcentral describes it as "partial 16S ribosomal RNA". It matches the Rfam family "Bacterial small subunit ribosomal RNA", at positions 1285 to 1500 of the family's 1533-position model. The record is from RNAcentral.